GCAUUGGCGGGUCAGUGGUAGAAUUUUUGCCUGCCACGCGGGAGACCCGGGUCCGAUUCCCGGCCAAUGCG
Molecule: non-coding RNA, 71 nt
Organism: Danio rerio (zebrafish)
Lineage: Eukaryota; Metazoa; Chordata; Actinopteri; Cypriniformes; Danionidae
Source: Rfam